CAGUGGCGAACGGGUGAGUAACACGUGGGCAAUCUGCCCUGCACUCUGGGACAACACCGGGAAACCGGUGCUAAUACCGGAUACGACGUACCUCGGCAUCGGGUGUGCGUGGAAAGCUCCGGCGGUGCAGGAUGAGCCCGCGGCCUAUCAGCUUGUUGGUGGGGUGAUGGCCUACCAAGGCGACGACGGGUAGCCGGCCUGAGAGGGCGACCGGCCACACUGGGACUGAGACACGGCCCAGACUCCUACGGGAGGCAGCAGUGGGGAAUAUUGCACAAUGGGCGAAAGCCUGAUGCAGCGACGCCGCGUGAGGGAUGAAGGCCUUCGGGUUGUAAACCUCUUUCAGCAGGGAAGAAGCGCAAGUGACGGUACCUGCAGAAGAAGCACCGGCUAACUACGUGCCAGCAGCCGCGGUAAUACGUAGGGUGCGAGCGUUGUCCGGAAUUAUUGGGCGUAAAGAGCUCGUAGGCGGCCUGUCGCGUCGGAUGUGAAAGCCCGGGGCUUANCCCNGGNUCUGCAUUCGAUACGGGCAGGCUAGAGUUCGGUAGGGGAGAUCGGAAUUCCU
RNAcentral lists this ribosomal RNA (565 nucleotides) under Streptomyces sp. 418G06. RNAcentral's name for it is "bacterial SSU rRNA". It matches the Rfam family "Bacterial small subunit ribosomal RNA", at positions 93 to 671 of the family's 1533-position model. The record is from RNAcentral. Lineage: Bacteria; Bacillati; Actinomycetota; Actinomycetes; Kitasatosporales; Streptomycetaceae.